RNAcentral lists this ribosomal RNA (253 nucleotides) under uncultured bacterium. Its description in RNAcentral is "partial 16S ribosomal RNA". It matches the Rfam family "Bacterial small subunit ribosomal RNA", at positions 524 to 776 of the family's 1533-position model. The record is from RNAcentral.
UACAGAGGUGGCAAGCGUUGUUCGGAAUUACUGGGCGUAAAGGGCGCGUAGGCGGCCUUCUAAGUCAGACGUGAAAUCCCCAGGCUUAACUUGGGAACUGCGUCUGAUACUGGGAGGCUUGAGUGCGGGAGAGGUGAGUGGAACUGCGAGUGUAGAGGUGAAAUUCGUAGAUAUUCGCAAGAACACCAGUGGCGAAGGCGGCUCACUGGCCCGAUACUGACGCUGAGGCACGGAAGCGUGGGGAGCAAACAGG